This 1373-nucleotide small RNA is filed under the name Pan troglodytes (chimpanzee). RNAcentral's name for it is "retained intron". The record is from RNAcentral. Lineage: Eukaryota; Metazoa; Chordata; Mammalia; Primates; Hominidae.
GGCUGAAAGAGCUGGGGCUCCGCGAGGAAAACGAGGGCGUGUAUAAUGGCAGCUGGGGAGGCCGGGGAGAGGUUAUUACGACCUAUUGCCCUGCUAACAACGAGCCAAUAGCAAGAGUCCGACAGGCCAGUGUGGCAGACUAUGAAGAAACUGUAAAGAAAGCAAGAGAAGCAUGGAAAAUCUGGGCAGAUAUUCCUGCUCCAAAACGAGGAGAAAUAGUAAGACAGAUUGGCGAUGCCUUGCGGGAGAAGAUCCAAGUACUAGGAAGCUUGGUGUCUUUGGAGAUGGGGAAAAUCUUAGUGGAAGGUGUGGGUGAAGUUCAGGAGUAUGUGGAUAUCUGUGACUAUGCUGUUGGUUUAUCAAGGAUGAUUGGAGGACCUAUCUUGCCUUCUGAAAGAUCUUGCUGUGUUGUUCAGGCUGGUCUCAAACUUCUGUCCUCAAGUGAUCCUCCCCUUCAGCCUCCCGAGUAGCUGGGAUUAUAGGCAUGAGCCACCUUCCUAGGCCCUUGUGUAUCUUUUUAGAGCACGUACAGCCAAAUAUGUAGCAAACUAUACAUUUUUUUUUUUUGAGAUGGAGUCUCGCUCUGUUGCCCAGGCUGGAGUGCAGUGGCGCGAUCUUGGCUCACUGCAACCUCCACCUCCCGGGUUCAAGCGAUUCUUCUGCCUCAGACUCCCGAGUAGCUGGGAUUACAGGUGUGCGCCAUCACACCCGGCUAAUUUUUGUAUUUUUGGUAGAGAUGGGGUUUCACCAUCCUGGCCAGGCUGCUCUUGAACUCCUCACCUCAUGAUCCACCCACCUUGGCCUCCCAGAGUGCUGGGAUUACAGGCGUGAGCCACUGUGCCCGGCCGCAAACUGUACGUUCUGUUUUAUACUUUUAUAUUCAAUAAUAUAUCUUGGAAAUUGUUUUUUUGUUUUCUUUUUUUGAGACAGGAUUUUACUGUCUUGCCCAGGCCAGAAUGUAGUGGCAUGAUCACAGUUCACUGCAGCCUCAACAUCCCCGGGAUCAGGUGAUCCUCCUACCUCAGCUAGGACUGUAGGUGCAUGCCAUCAUACCUGGCUAUUUUUUUUUUUUUUUUUUUUUUUUUUUUUGUAGAGGUGGGAUUUUGCAGUGUUGCCCAGGCUGGUCUCGAACUCCGGGGCUCAGGUGAUCUGCCUGUCUCAACCUCCCAAAGUGUUAGGAUUGCAGGCGUGAGCCACUGUGUCAGGCUGGAAAUUGUUUUCGCAUUAUUCUAUUAAGGGGCUUCCUUCAUCUGUGUUUGCAGCUGUCUAUUUUGUUAUAAAGAGACUAUAAUUUAUUUAGUCAGCUUCCAAAUGAUGUAUAUGUAGGGCUGUUUUCAGUGUUUUUCUAUUACAAGCUGUUCUGUAAGAACCAA